AUGUAUUCUCAUGAAAAGGAUGGAGGUAACCCAAGACCAAAUGCAAUGAUGCAAGAAUUUCGGGAUUGUUUGGGAGAUUGUGGGUUAUAUGAUCUGGGAUAUGUCGGCGACUAUUUCACUUGGAGGAGAGGGGAGAUUAGGUUGAGACUUGAUAGGGCUGUAUGCAAUGUCGAAUGGUAAAAUAAGUUUCCAAAGGCAGGCAUCAUCAAUGAGGAGCAUGUGCAUUCUGAUCAUCGUCCCUUAAUCCUUGACACAGAAUAUUAUGGUGAGAAUAUUCUCAAUAGCCCAAAAAUCCGUGUGAAGCAAUUUGAGGCUAGAUGGCUUAAAGAAGAGACGGUGGGAGAAAUUGAGCGAACAACAUGGAAAAGGCCAAACUAG
RNAcentral lists this ribosomal RNA (378 nucleotides) under Triticum aestivum (bread wheat). Its description in RNAcentral is "partial small subunit ribosomal RNA". The record is from RNAcentral. Lineage: Eukaryota; Viridiplantae; Streptophyta; Magnoliopsida; Poales; Poaceae.